UAAACGACUCUUGGCAACGGAUAUCUCAGCUCUCGAAUCGAUGAAGAACGUAGCGAAAAGCGAUACUUGGUGUGAAUUGCAUAAUCCCGUGAACCAUCGAGUCUUUGAACGCAAGUUGUGCUCGAAGUCGUUAGGCCGAGGGCACAUCUGCCUGAGCGUCACAC
Molecule: ribosomal RNA, 164 nt
Filed under: Polylepis sericea
Lineage: Eukaryota; Viridiplantae; Streptophyta; Magnoliopsida; Rosales; Rosaceae
Description: 5.8S ribosomal RNA
Rfam family: 5.8S ribosomal RNA
About the family: 5.8S ribosomal RNA (5.8S rRNA) is a component of the large subunit of the eukaryotic ribosome. It is transcribed by RNA polymerase I as part of the 45S precursor that also contains 18S and 28S rRNA.
Source: RNAcentral